AGCAGCCGCGGUAAUUCCAGCUCCAAUAGCGUAUAUUAAAGUUGUUGCAGUUAAAAAGCUCGUAGUUGAACUUCGGGGUCUACCCAUUGGUCAGGCUUAAUUGUCUGCACUGGUGGGAUGGAUCUCUACCUUCUGAGGAACUUUCAUGCCAUUUAUUUGGUGUGAUUGGAAAUCAGGACUGUUACUUUGAAAAAUUGAGUGUUUAAAGCAGACUAUCGUCUGAAUACAUUAGCAUGGAAUAAUGAAAUAGGACGGACUGAUUCUAUUUCGUUGGUUUCUAGGAUCACCGUAAUGAUUAAUAGGGAUAGUUGAGGGCAUUAGUAUUCAAUUGUCAGA
This 336-nucleotide ribosomal RNA is filed under the name uncultured Diversispora. RNAcentral describes it as "SSU rRNA". It matches the Rfam family "Eukaryotic small subunit ribosomal RNA", at positions 569 to 909 of the family's 1831-position model. The record is from RNAcentral. Lineage: Eukaryota; Fungi; Glomeromycota; Glomeromycetes; Diversisporales; Diversisporaceae.